This is a long non-coding RNA of Brachypodium distachyon (stiff brome), 774 nucleotides long. RefSeq lists it as uncharacterized. Lineage: Eukaryota; Viridiplantae; Streptophyta; Magnoliopsida; Poales; Poaceae. The transcript is spliced from 2 exons. The record is from RefSeq and is a predicted model, not a curated record.
GCCAGCUAGGCGGAAGGAUCUUUCAUCUGCUGCUGGCCGGGGCGCUUUGGCUUUGCGCCAUGGAUAUAAAGCGAUCAACUGAUAUGCGUUCGACAUGUCGGCAUUGCACACUACGGAGUACCAGCUUGCAGCGAAGCCGCUUUGCGUAGCCUCUGACCCGUCACCGGCCUCAUCGAUCAGCAGCAUGUGUUGUUAACUUUCGUUAUCCGCGGGCCCCCCAGAUACGUGGAGUAUUGUCUCGGCCAGCACGGAGCAUCGAAACGUCAAGGGCAAGAACGUAACAAGAAUUUGUGGCCUCAGAGAAUGAGAGGGACGCGGCCGGCACGGGCGCGGAUUGGCAGGCGGCGCCGGCCGGCGUAGGCGAGGCGGCGGCCCGUCCGAAGCGGGCCGAGAGGCGGCGAUGGACGGUGGGGGCUGGAGGGUCCCGGCGGCGGCCAGCACUGGCAUGGGGCGGGAGGCUGUAGGCGGCGCGGGCUGAGAGGCGACGGCAGUUGGCGUGGACGAGGAGGGCGGCAGGAUCGGGAGAAGAGAAACGGCGAAAUUGGGAGAAACUGGGUCUCGUGAGGAAGAGAAAUUUUGUUUUACUAUUAUAAUAAUGCGAAAUGUCUAAACUACCUUUCUCUAAUACUCCGUCUGAUCUAUGUUCCUGUAUGGAAAUUUGUUAUAGGAACUUAGGACCACACUACUGUUUCACGUGAAAACACAAGUGCAAAUCAUGUGUGCCCAAGCGACCGUUCGGGACGGAAACACUCCCCGGUUCCGUCGUGUGCCAUA